UGCAACCUGACUUGUGCGUAUGGAUUAUCAUGGUUUUGAUCCUAUAAUGUGACAGGGAACUAAAUGUUAAGUUAUUACAACAGGCCCUUUUCUAGGGAAGUUGGAAAGUUUGAACUAGGUGCCCACCUGCGAAAGCGGGGUCAGAAACCUGAAGUCUUACGGCAAGUUGGGGAAG
This 175-nucleotide non-coding RNA is filed under the name Desulfosporosinus sp. Tol-M. Its description in RNAcentral is "6S / SsrS RNA". It matches the Rfam family "6S / SsrS RNA". Rfam says of the family: E. coli 6S RNA was the first non coding RNA to be sequenced, but its function was unknown until recently. The record is from Rfam by way of RNAcentral. Lineage: Bacteria; Bacillati; Bacillota; Clostridia; Eubacteriales; Desulfitobacteriaceae.